AGGCUGGCCUCAAACUAGUGGUGACCCUCCUGUAUCAGCCCUGCACUGUGGGGAACCACCUGGAUGAUGCUCCUUGAAAGAAGAGCAGUUAUCUCCAAUUUGGAUUGGGUCUCCUGCCUUCCAAGCCUCUUAUGCAGCUGUUGCUUUGUUCCACGUACUUUUGACUGCAGAGAAAGCACGCACAAAGAAAAAUCCAUUCCUAACAAGCGAUUAGGAAAGGAAGAAGUUGUGUGGAGAAAGAAGGAGGAUGUGGCUGUCAGGGUAAGCAUCCCGAAUUUGGCCUUCCACCAUGUUGAGCCACC
This is a long non-coding RNA of Cavia porcellus (domestic guinea pig), 302 nucleotides long. RefSeq lists it as uncharacterized. NCBI's taxonomy places the organism in Eukaryota, Metazoa, Chordata, Mammalia, Rodentia, Caviidae. The record is from RefSeq and is a predicted model, not a curated record. The transcript has 3 exons.